ACAGCAUGAACACAAGGAUGCUUUCUGAGUUCCUAGGGCUACUGCUGCUCUGGUUUUCAGGUGUGAGUUGUAAUAUCCAGAUGACACAAUCUCCACUAACUGUGUCUGCAUCUCUUGGGGACAGAGUCACCAUCACUUGCCAUGCCAGUCAGAACAUUAAUAAUUGGUUAGUCUGGUACCAGCAGAAACCAGGGAAUUCUCCUGUACUAUUAAUCUAUAAGACAUCCAACCUGCAAACAGGAAUCCCAUCAAGAUUCAGUGGCAGUGGCUCUGGGACCGAUUAUACUCUCACUAUCAACAACCUGCAACCUGAAGAUGUUGCCACUUACUUCUGUAUGCAGCAUCAGAGCUGUUGCCACAGUGAUACAAGUCAUAACAUAAACCUCUCAAUGGUGCAGCAAGUUAAGACUGAGCUAGUACUAGCUGCUCCCCCUAGUGCCUGCUCCUGA
Non-coding RNA from Microtus oregoni (creeping vole), 449 nucleotides. NCBI's taxonomy places the organism in Eukaryota, Metazoa, Chordata, Mammalia, Rodentia, Cricetidae. The record is from the annotation of a RefSeq genome assembly.